RNAcentral lists this transfer RNA (71 nucleotides) under Callosciurus caniceps concolor. Its description in RNAcentral is "tRNA-Gly". The record is from RNAcentral. Lineage: Eukaryota; Metazoa; Chordata; Mammalia; Rodentia; Sciuridae.
ACUCUCUUAGUAUAACNAUAGUACAGCUGACUUCCAAUCACCCAGUCUCAGAGUAAUCCUGAGAGAGAGUA